Oncorhynchus keta (chum salmon) is the source of this 1404-nucleotide long non-coding RNA. RefSeq lists it as uncharacterized. The transcript has 4 exons. NCBI's taxonomy places the organism in Eukaryota, Metazoa, Chordata, Actinopteri, Salmoniformes, Salmonidae. The record is from RefSeq and is a predicted model, not a curated record.
UGAAUGUGUCCUUCUGAAGGAUCCCUGAGAGGAGGUGUUUAGUGAAUGUGUCCUUCUGAAGGAUCCCUGAGAGGAGGUGAUUAGUGAAUGUGUCCUUCUGAAGGAUCCCUGAGAGGAGGUGAUUAGUGAAUGUGUCCUUCUGAAGGAUCCCUGAGAGGAGGUGAUUAGUGAAUGUGUCCUUCUGAAGGAUCCCUGAGAGGAGGUGAUUAGUGAAUGUGUCCUUCUGAAGGAUCCCUGAGAGGAGGUGAUUAGUGAAUGUGUCCUUCUGAAGGAUCCCUGAGAGGAGGUGAUUAGUGAAUGUGUCCUUCUGAAGGAUCCCUGAGAGGAGGUGAUUAGUGAAUGUGUCCUUCUGAAGGAUCCCUGAGAGGAGGUGAUUAGUGAAUGUGUCCUUCUGAAGGAUCCCUGAGAGGAGGUGAUUAGUGAAUGUGUCGUUCUGAAGGAUCACUGAGAGGAGGUGAUUAGUGAAUGUGUCGUUCUGAAGGAUCACUGAGAGGAGGUGAUUAGUGAAUGUGUCGUUCUGAAGGAUCCCUGAGAGGAGGUGAUUAGUGAAUGUGUCGUUCUGAAGGAUCACUGAGAGGAGGUGAUUAGUGAAUGUGUCGUUCUGAAGGAUCACUGAGAGGAGGUGAUUAGUGAAUGUGUCGUUCUGAAGGAUCACUGAGAGGAGGUGUUUAGUGAAUGUGUCCUUCUGAAGGAUCCCUGAGAGGAGGUGAUUAGUGAAUGUGUCCUUCUGAAGGAUCCCUGAGAGGAGGUGAUUAGUGAAUGUGUCCUUCUGAAGGAUCCCUGAGAGGAGGUGAUUAGUGAAUGUGUCCUUCUGAAGGAUCCCUGAGAGGAGGUGAUUAGUGAAUGUGUCCUUCUGAAGGAUCCCUGAGAGGAGGUGAUUAGUGAAUGUGUCCUUCUGAAGGAUCCCUGAGAGGAGGUGAUUAGUGAAUGUGUCCUUCUGAAGGAUCCCUGAGAGGAGGUGAUUAGUGAAUGUGUCCUUCUGAAGGAUCACUGAGAGGAGGUGUUUAGUGAAUGUGUCCUUCUGAAGGAUCACUGAGAGGAGGUGUUUAGUGAAUGUGUCCUUCUGAAGGAUCCCUGAGAGGAGGUGAUUAGUGAAUGUGUCCUUCUGAAGGAUCACUGAGAGGAGGUGAUUAGUGAAUGUGUCCUUCUGAAGGAUCCCUGAGAGGAGAGGCAUAUCUCAGCCUGUCCUAUUGUCAUCUCAAAGAGGUUAGCGCCAGGGGUUCGACUAGGGUUGAGCCAUGCUAAUAUAAUAUAAUAAUAUAAUAUAUGCCAUUUAGCAGACGCUUUUAUCCAAAGCGACUUACAGUCAUGUGUGCAUACAUUCUACGUAUGGGUGGUCCCGGGAAUCGAACCCACUACCCUGGCGUUACAAGCGCCAUGCUCUACCAACUGAGCUACAGAAGG